ACGGAGGGUGCGAGCGUUGUCCGGAAUCAUUGGGCGUAAAGGGCGCGUAGGUGGCCCGCUCAGCGUGCGGUGAAAGCCUGGGGCUCAACCCCGGGUCGGCCGUGCGAACUGGUGGGCUCGAGCACUGUAGAGGCGAGUGGAAUUCCGGGUGUAGCGGUGGAAUGCGUAAAGAUCCGGAAGAACACCAGUGGCGAAGGCGGCUCGCUGGGGUGUAGCUGACGCUGAGGCGCGACAGCGUGGGGAGCAAACAGGA
Molecule: ribosomal RNA, 253 nt
Filed under: uncultured prokaryote
Description: partial 16S ribosomal RNA
Rfam family: Bacterial small subunit ribosomal RNA
Source: RNAcentral